Molecule: ribosomal RNA, 892 nt
Filed under: Petriella sp. P3
Lineage: Eukaryota; Fungi; Ascomycota; Sordariomycetes; Microascales; Microascaceae
Description: eukaryotic LSU rRNA
Rfam family: Eukaryotic small subunit ribosomal RNA (bases 1-361)
Source: RNAcentral
CCUUAGAUGUCCUGGGCCGCACGCGCGUUACACUGACAGAGCCAGCGAGUAUUUCCUUGACCGGAAGGUCCGGGUAAUCUUGUUAAACUCUGUCGUGCUGGGGAUAGAGCAUUGCAAUUAUUGCUCUUCAACGAGGAAUCCCUAGUAAGCGCAAGUCAUCAGCUUGCGUUGAUUACGUCCCUGCCCUUUGUACACACCGCCCGUCGCUACUACCGAUUGAAUGGCUCAGUGAGACCUUCGGACUGGCCCAGAGAGGUGGGCAACUACCACUCAGGGCCGGAAAGUUGUUCAAACUCGGUCAUUUAGAGGAAGUAAAAGUCGUAACAAGGUCUCCGUUGGUGAACCAGCGGAGGGAUCAUUACCGAGUUAUUACUCCAAACCCUUUGUGAACGUUACCAUUGUUCUGUUGCCUCGGCGGGUACCGGCCCCUAAAGCCGCGCCCGCCAGCAGCACUAAACUCUUGAACUUUAUAGCGGAUUACACUUCUGAAUAAAAUACAAAACAAAUCAAAACUUUCAACAACGGAUCUCUUGGUUCUGGCAUCGAUGAAGAACGCAGCGAAAUGCGAUAAGUAAUGUGAAUUGCAGAAUUCAGUGAAUCAUCGAAUCUUUGAACGCACAUUGCGCCCGGCAGUAAUCUGCCGGGCAUGCCUGUCCGAGCGUCAUUUCAACCCUCGAGCCUAAGUUUUUCUAAACUAAAGGAUCGGUGUUGGGGCGCUACAGCGGUCUUCGGAUAGCUGUAGGCUCUGAAAUACAGUGGCGGUCCCGUCGCGGCGUCUUCUGCGUAGUAAGCUUAUAAAACUCGCAUUAGGUCCCGGCGAAGGCCAGCCGUCAAACCCUCUAAUUCUUUAUGGUUUGACCUCGGAUCAGGUAGGGUUACCCGCUGAACUUAA